This 451-nucleotide ribosomal RNA is filed under the name uncultured bacterium. RNAcentral describes it as "bacterial SSU rRNA". It matches the Rfam family "Bacterial small subunit ribosomal RNA", at positions 354 to 796 of the family's 1533-position model. The record is from RNAcentral.
GUGGGGAAUUGUUCGCAAUGGGCGAAAGCCUGACGACGCAACGCCGCGUGGGGGAUGAAGGUCUUCGGAUUGUAAACCCCUGUUGAUCGGGACGAACACCUUCCGGGUGAACAUCCUGGAGGGCUGACGGUACCGGUUGAGGAAGCCCCGGCUAACUCUGUGCCAGCAGCCGCGGUAAUACAGAGGGGGCGAGCGUUGUUCGGAAUUACUGGGCGUAAAGGGCGCGUAGGCGGCCGACUAAGUCAGACGUGAAAUCCCUAGGCUCAACCUGGGAACUGCGUCUGAGACUGGCUGGCUUGAGUUCGGGAGAGGGAAGUGGAAUUCCAGGUGUAGCGGUGAAAUGCGUAGAUAUCUGGAGGAACACCGGUGGCGAAGGCGGCUUCCUGGACCGACACUGACGCUGAGGCGCGAAAGCCAGGGUAGCAAACGGGAUUAGAUACCCGGGUAGUCC